Molecule: ribosomal RNA, 495 nt
Filed under: uncultured bacterium
Lineage: Bacteria
Description: partial 16S ribosomal RNA
Rfam family: Bacterial small subunit ribosomal RNA
Source: RNAcentral
GACGAACGCUGGCGGCGUGCCUAAUACAUGCAAGUAGAACGCUGAAGGCGGAGCUUGCUCUUCUGGAUGAGUUGCGAACGGGUGAGUAACGCGUAGGUAACCUGCCUGGUAGCGGGGGAUAACUAUUGGAAACGAUAGCUAAUACCGCAUAAUAGUAGAUGUUGCAUGAUAUUUACUUAAAAGGUGCAAUUGCACCACUACCAGAUGGACCUGCGUUGUAUUAGCUAGUUGGUGGGGUAACGGCUCACCAAGGCGACGAUACAUAGCCGACCGGCGAGGGUGAUCGGCCACGCUGGGACUGGAGCACGGCCCAGACCACUGCGAGAGGCAGAAGUAGGGAAUCCUCGGGGAUGGAAGAAAGUCUGACCGAGGAACGACGCGUGAGUGAAGAAUGUUGUCGGAUCGUAAAGCUCUGUUGUAAGAGAAGAUCGAGUGUGAGAGUUGAAAGUUCACACUGUGACGGUAUCUUAACAGAAAGGGACGGCUAACUACGUG